UUCAAAUGAUGUAUAAACAUAUUUGCUACUUUAGACAAGGUUUACACUUUGAAUGAAACUAUAAUACACCAAGAUCUCUGAUGCU
RNAcentral lists this small nucleolar RNA (85 nucleotides) under Ascoidea rubescens DSM 1968. Its description in RNAcentral is "Small nucleolar RNA SNORD24". It matches the Rfam family "Small nucleolar RNA SNORD24". Rfam says of the family: U24 is a member of the C/D class of snoRNA which contain the C (UGAUGA) and D (CUGA) box motifs. C/D box snoRNAs have been shown to act as methylation guides for a number of RNA targets. The record is from Rfam by way of RNAcentral. Lineage: Eukaryota; Fungi; Ascomycota; Saccharomycetes; Ascoideales; Ascoideaceae.